Molecule: ribosomal RNA, 326 nt
Filed under: uncultured Cortinarius
Lineage: Eukaryota; Fungi; Basidiomycota; Agaricomycetes; Agaricales; Cortinariaceae
Description: eukaryotic LSU rRNA
Rfam family: Eukaryotic large subunit ribosomal RNA
Source: RNAcentral
GUGACCUCAAAUCAGGUAGGACUACCCGCUGAACUUAAGCAUAUCAAUAAGCGGAGGAAAAGAAACUAACAAGGAUUCCCCUAGUAACUGCGAGUGAAGCGGGAAAAGCUCAAAUUUAAAAUCUGGCGGUCUUUUGGCUGUCCGAGUUGUAAUCUAGAGAAGUGUUAUCCGCGCUGGACCAUGUACAAGUCUCCUGGAAUGGAGCGUCAUAGAGGGUGAGAAUCCCGUCUUUGACAUGGGCUGCCAGGGCUUUUGUGAUGCGCUCUCAAAGAGUCGAGUUGUUUGGGAAUGCAGCUCAAAAUGGGUGGUAAAUUCCAUCUAAAGCU